GACGAACGCUGGCGGCGGGCUUAACACAUGCAAGUCGAACGGAAAGGCUCCAACUUGCUGGUGUACUCGAGUGGCGAACGGGUGAGUAACACGUGGGUAAUCUGCCCUGCACUCUGGGAUAAGCCUGGGAAACUGGAUCUAAUACUGGAUAUGACCUGUCUCCUUAUGGGAUUUGGUGGAAAGUUUUUCGGUGUAGGAUGAGCUCGCGGCCUAUCAGCUUGUUGGUUGGGUGAUGGCCUACCAAGGCGAAGACGGGUAGCCGGCCUGAGAGGGUGAUCGGCCACAUGGGGACUGCGAUACGGCCCAGACUCGUACGGUAGGCAGCAGUGGCGAACAUUGUACAAUGGGAGGAAGCCUGAUGCAGAGACGCCGCGUGAGGGAUGACGGCCUUCGGGUUGUAAAACUCAUUCAGCAGAGACGAAGCGUAAGUGACGGUACCUGAAGAAGAAGCACCGGCUAACUAUGUG
This 467-nucleotide ribosomal RNA is filed under the name uncultured bacterium. Its description in RNAcentral is "partial 16S ribosomal RNA". It matches the Rfam family "Bacterial small subunit ribosomal RNA", at positions 28 to 507 of the family's 1533-position model. The record is from RNAcentral.